UUAAAGUCGCAUGAGGCACUUUGCUAGCAGUUCAGGGACAGGUGAAAGGUGUGGAUGAGUAGAUUGUGGGAGAGUCGAUGCCGGCAAAUCUGUAUAUGAUUCUUACCAUGGAAUGGUUGGAUCGGACAUAAGUUGUAUUACCAGUGUGUGAGACCGAUUUUGGGGAGUUUGGUAAUUUCGGCAAUGUAGGUUUUGAAAAUGAUUAGGAAGGG
Molecule: long non-coding RNA, 212 nt
Filed under: Capsella rubella
Lineage: Eukaryota; Viridiplantae; Streptophyta; Magnoliopsida; Brassicales; Brassicaceae
Description: long non-coding RNA (CRUB_LNC002569)
Source: RNAcentral